AGCGAACGCUGGCGGCAGGCCUAAAACAUGCAAGUCGAACGCCCGUAGCAAUACGGGAGUGGCAGACGGGUGAGUAACACGUGGGAACGUACCCUUUGGUUCGGAACAACACAGGGAAACUUGUGCUAAUACCGGAUAAGCCCUUACGGGGAAAGAUUUAUCGCCAGAGGAUCGGCCCGCGUCUGAUUAGCUUGUUGGUGAGGUAACGGCUCACCAAGGCUACGAUCAGUAGCUGGUCNGAGAGGAUGAUCA
Molecule: ribosomal RNA, 252 nt
Filed under: uncultured bacterium
Lineage: Bacteria
Description: partial 16S ribosomal RNA
Rfam family: Bacterial small subunit ribosomal RNA
Source: RNAcentral